CCCUUAGAUGUUCUGGGCUGCACGCGCGCUACACUGAAGCGUUCAACGAGUAUUCACCUUGCCCGGGAGGGUUGGGUAAUCUUUUGAAUGUGCAUCGUGAUUGGGAUAGAUGAUUGCAAUUUUUCAUCUUCAACGAGGAAUGCCUAGUAAACGCAAGUCAUCAGCUUGCAUUGAUUACGUCCCUGCCCUUUGUACACACCGCCCGUCGCUCCUACCGAUUGAAUGAUCCGAUGAAUAUCAUGGAUUGAGGAUGCAAGUAGGUUAGCCUAUCUUCAUCUUCGAGAAGUGAAGUAAAUCUUAUCAUUUAGAGGAAGGAGAAGUCGUAACA
Molecule: ribosomal RNA, 328 nt
Filed under: uncultured eukaryote
Lineage: Eukaryota
Description: partial 18S ribosomal RNA
Rfam family: Eukaryotic small subunit ribosomal RNA
Source: RNAcentral